Molecule: ribosomal RNA, 245 nt
Filed under: Staphylococcus aureus
Lineage: Bacteria; Bacillati; Bacillota; Bacilli; Caryophanales; Staphylococcaceae
Description: partial 16S ribosomal RNA
Rfam family: Bacterial small subunit ribosomal RNA
Source: RNAcentral
UGCAUAGCCGACCUGAGAGGGUGAUCGGCCACACUGGAACUGAGACACGGUCCAGACUCCUACGGGAGGCAGCAGUAGGGAAUCUUCCGCAAUGGGCGAAAGCCUGACGGAGCAACGCCGCGUGAGUGAUGAAGGUCUUCGGAUCGUAAAACUCUGUUAUUAGGGAAGAACAUAUGUGUAAGUAACUGUGCACAUCUUGACGGUACCUAAUCAGAAAGCCACGGCUAACUACGUGCCAGCAGCCG